UCUAAGUAUAAGCAAUUAUACAGCGAAACUGCGAAUGGCUCAUUAUAUAAGUUAUCGUUUAUUUGAUAGUACCUUACUACUUGGAUAACCGUGGUAAUUCUAGAGCUAAUACAUGCUAAAAAUCCCGACUUCGGAAGGGAUGUAUUUAUUAGAUUAAAAACCAAUGCCCUCUGGGCUCCUUGGUGAUUCAUAAUAACUUUUCGAAUCGCACGGCCUUGCGCCGGCGAUGGUUCAUUCAAAUUUCUUCCCUAUCAACUUUCGAUGUUUGGGUCUUGGCCAAACAUGGUCGCAACGGGUAACGGAGGGUUAGGGCUCGACCCCGGAGAAGGAGCCUGAGAAACGGCUACUACAUCCAAGGAAGGCAGCAGGCGCGCAAAUUACCCAAUCCCGAUUCGGGGAGGUAGUGACAAUAAAUACUGAUACAGGGCUCUUUUGGGUCUUGUAAUUGGAAUGAGUACAAUUUAAAUCUCUUAACGAGGAACANUUGGAGGGCAAGUCUGGUGCCAGCAGCCGCGGUAAUUCCAGCUCCAAUAGCGUAUAUUAAAGUUGUUGUGGUUAAAAAGCUCGUAAUUGAACCUUGGGCCUGGCUGGCCGGUCCGCCUCACCGCGUGCACUGGUCCGGCCGGGCCUUUCCCUCUGUGGAACCCCAUGCUCUUCACUGAGUGUGGCGGUGAAACAGGACUUUUACUUUGAAAAAAUUAGAGUGCUCCAGGCAGGCCUAUGCUCGAAUACAUUAGCAUGGAAUAAUAAAAUAGGACGCGUGGUUCUAUUUUGUUGGUUUCUAGGACCGCCGUAAUGAUUAAUAGGGACAGUCGGGGGCAUCAGUAUUCAAUUGUCAGAGGUGAAAUUCUUGGAUUUAUUGAAGACUAACUACUGCGAAAGCAUUUGCCAAGGAUGUUUUCAUUAAUCAGGAACGAAAGUUAGGGGAUCGAAGACGAUCAGAUACCGUCGUAGUCUUAACCAUAAACUAUG
Molecule: ribosomal RNA, 972 nt
Filed under: Cordyceps militaris
Lineage: Eukaryota; Fungi; Ascomycota; Sordariomycetes; Hypocreales; Cordycipitaceae
Description: SSU rRNA
Rfam family: Eukaryotic small subunit ribosomal RNA
Source: RNAcentral